Molecule: unclassified non-coding RNA, 316 nt
Filed under: plant metagenome
Description: partial contains 5.8S ribosomal RNA, internal transcribed spacer 2, and large subunit ribosomal RNA
Rfam family: 5.8S ribosomal RNA (bases 1-105)
Source: RNAcentral
GAAAUGCGAUAACUAGUGUGAAUUGCAGAAUUCCGUGAAUCAUCGAGUCUUUGAACGCACAUUGCGCCCCCUGGUAUUCCGGGGGGCAUGCCUGUCCGAGCGUCAUUGCUGCCCAUCAAGCACGGCUUGUGUGUUGGGUCGUCGUCCCCUCUCCGGGGGGGACGGGCCCCAAAGGCAGCGGCGGCACCGCGUCCGAUCCUCGAGCGUAUGGGGCUUUGUCACCCGCUCUGUAGGCCCGGCCGUCGCUUGCCGAACGCAAAUCAAUCUUUUUCCAGGUUGACCUCGGAUCAGGUAGGGAUACCCGCUGAACUUAAGC